Molecule: ribosomal RNA, 668 nt
Filed under: Vibrio parahaemolyticus
Lineage: Bacteria; Pseudomonadati; Pseudomonadota; Gammaproteobacteria; Vibrionales; Vibrionaceae
Description: bacterial LSU rRNA
Rfam family: Bacterial large subunit ribosomal RNA
Source: RNAcentral
GGUCUCCUCCCAAAGAGUAACGGAGGAGCACGAAGGUGGGCUAAUCACGGUUGGACAUCGUGAGGUUAGUGCAAUGGCAUAAGCCCGCUUGACUGCGAGAAUGACAAUUCGAGCAGGUGCGAAAGCAGGUCAUAGUGAUCCGGUGGUUCUGAAUGGAAGGGCCAUCGCUCAACGGAUAAAAGGUACUCCGGGGAUAACAGGCUGAUACCGCCCAAGAGUUCAUAUCGACGGCGGUGUUUGGCACCUCGAUGUCGGCUCAUCACAUCCUGGGGCUGAAGUCGGUCCCAAGGGUAUGGCUGUUCGCCAUUUAAAGUGGUACGCGAGCUGGGUUUAGAACGUCGUGAGACAGUUCGGUCCCUAUCUGCCGUGGGCGUUGGAAGAUUGAAGGGGGCUGCUCCUAGUACGAGAGGACCGGAGUGGACGAACCUCUGGUGUUCGGGUUGUGUCGCCAGACGCAUUGCCCGGUAGCUAAGUUCGGAAUCGAUAACCGCUGAAAGCAUCUAAGCGGGAAGCGAGCCCUGAGAUGAGUCUUCCCUGAUACUUUAAGUAUCCUAAAGGGUUGUCGGAGACUACGACGUUGAUAGGUCAGGUGUGUAAGUGCUGUGAGGCAUUGAGCUAACUGAUACUAAUUGCCCGUGAGGCUUAACCAUACAACACCCAAGGGGUUU